AAAAAUUAAAUGAAAUUAAUAUAAAACUAUUAAAAAAAACCACUGGUCCUGUUUGUUUUCCCUCGUACACUAUUCUACAUAAUACCUCAAUCCAUCAUUGUCACCUUUCUUUAAAUGGAAUUAAUAUAAAACUAUAAAAUAAAAAUAAAAAAACAACUGGUCCUCUUUGUUUUCCCUCAUACACUAUCUCACAUAACACCUCAAUACAUCUUUAUCCCCUUUCACUACAUCACGUCUCCUCAACUAGAACCAUCACCCAUCACUCAACCUAAGCAAC
RNAcentral lists this long non-coding RNA (277 nucleotides) under Gossypium raimondii (Peruvian cotton). Its description in RNAcentral is "long non-coding RNA (GRAI_LNC001034)". Lineage: Eukaryota; Viridiplantae; Streptophyta; Magnoliopsida; Malvales; Malvaceae. The record is from RNAcentral.